RNAcentral lists this ribosomal RNA (464 nucleotides) under uncultured bacterium. RNAcentral describes it as "partial 16S ribosomal RNA". It matches the Rfam family "Bacterial small subunit ribosomal RNA", at positions 339 to 795 of the family's 1533-position model. The record is from RNAcentral.
CUACGGGUUGCUGCAGUGGGGAAUAUUGGACAAUGGGCGCAAGCCUGAUCCAGCAAUGCCGCGUGUGUGAAGAAGGCCUGCGGGUUGUAAAGCACUUUCAAUUGGGAGGAAAAGCGGUCGGUUAAUACCCGGCCGACUUGACGUUACCUUUAGAAGAAGCACCGGCUAACUCCGUGCCAGCAGCCGCGGUAAUACGGAGGGUGCAAGCGGUAAUCGGAAUUACUGGGCGUAAAGCGCGCGUAGGUGGCUAGAUAAGUCGGAUGUGAAAGCCCUGGGCUCAACCGGGGAAUGGCAUUCGAUACUGUCUGGCUAGAGUCUGGUAGAGGGAAGUGGAAUUCCAGGUGUAGCGGUGACAUGCGUAGAUAUCUGGAGGAACACCAGUGGCGAAGGCGACUUCCUGGACCAAGACUGACACUGAGGUGCGAAAGCGUGGGUAGCAAAUAGGAUUAGAUACCCCCGUAGUC